GAGGGUAUAGCACAGUGGUAGAGUGUGUGCUUUAGCAUGCUUGAGGUCCUGGGUUCAAUCCCCAGUACCUCA
RNAcentral lists this transfer RNA (72 nucleotides) under Camelus bactrianus (Bactrian camel). It matches the Rfam family "tRNA". From Rfam's summary of the family: Transfer RNA (tRNA) molecules are approximately 80 nucleotides in length. RNAcentral also lists the same sequence under 2 other names. Lineage: Eukaryota; Metazoa; Chordata; Mammalia; Artiodactyla; Camelidae. The record is from Rfam by way of RNAcentral.